This 737-nucleotide ribosomal RNA is filed under the name uncultured bacterium. RNAcentral's name for it is "bacterial SSU rRNA". It matches the Rfam family "Bacterial small subunit ribosomal RNA", at positions 59 to 793 of the family's 1533-position model. The record is from RNAcentral.
CAGUCGAACGAAGCACUCUAUUUGAUUUUCUUCGGAAAUGAAGAUUUUGUGACUGAUUGGCGGACGGGUGAGUAACGCGUGGGUAACCUGCCUCAUACAGGGGGAUAACAGUUGGAAACGGCUGCUAAUACCGCAUAAGCGCACAGGAUCGCAUGAUCUGGUGUGAAAAACUCCGGUGGUAUGAGAUGGACCCGCGUCUGAUUAGCCAGUUGGCAGGGUAACGGCCUACCAAAGCGACGAUCAGUAGCCGACCUGAGAGGGUGACCGGCCACAUUGGGACUGAGACACGGCCCAAACUCCUACGGGAGGCAGCAGUGGGGAAUAUUGCACAAUGGGGGAAACCCUGAUGCAGCGACGCCGCGUGAGCGAAGAAGUAUUUCGGUAUGUAAAGCUCUAUCAGCAGGGAAGAAGAAUGACGGUACCUGACUAAGAAGCACCGGCUAAAUACGUGCCAGCAGCCGCGGUAAUACGUAUGGUGCAAGCGUUAUCCGGAUUUACUGGGUGUAAAGGGAGCGCAGGCGGUGCGGCAAGUCUGAUGUGAAAGCCCGGGGCUCAACCCCGGUACUGCAUUGGAAACUGUCGUACUAGAGUGUCGGAGGGGUAAGUGGAAUUCCUAGUGUAGCGGUGAAAUGCGUAGAUAUUAGGAGGAACACCAGUGGCGAAGGCGGCUUACUGGACGAUAACUGACGCUGAGGCUCGAAAGCGUGGGGAGCAAACAGGAUUAGAUACCCUGGUAG